AAAGCAAUUUAUUCGCGUAUGGCAACAUGUGCCGUUUCAAUUAAAAGAAAAUUUUAUUUGACAUUUGUUUGAUUCAGGAUGGAGCCCGGCUAGUAAGCAAAUGGUGGCGGACAUUUUUUUUUGUGUAACAAAUAUUCUGUUGCAAAAAGUACGGUUUUGUAAGAACGUCUUUUACGCAAUAUUUAACGCAUUGGAAAUAAUGCACGAAAAUCAUUAAUUUCAUGUGUCCAAAAAGUUUAUAUUAAGCGUGAUCAAUUCUUAAUAGGAAAGCGUUUUAAAAAGGUGAUAUAAGUGAGCAUAAAAGAUUCCCUACCUAAAUUGUGUGCACAUCUACACGUACAAUGGAAAUUGCGCAAAAUGUACUUCUAUAUGGAACGAAAAAUGAAGCCUGGCGACAAGCGCUUUUUUUUUUUAGAAGUAACUGUAAAAUAUCAUUUGUGGUCGAUAAAGAAGUGCUAGCGGCGUCCCGUGUUCAUUUAAUUAAAAUAAAAUAUUACAAUCGGAGUUUAAAUGUUGUAUAAUAUAUAUCAUGUGCGGUGAUAAAAUUUUUUCAUAGCGUUUGAGUAAAAUAUGGCCGCCGGAGAGUUAUGUGAAAAGAAAAUAUUUGGAUUCGUACGUGGAUGUCUUCAGAUGUGUGAAGUAUCACCCUGCAAUUCAAUGGAAUUGCACAACAAAUGAAGCCCGGCAAUAUGAAUAGCGUCUCAAUUGCAUUUAAGACGCAAUUGCAGAAAUUGCAAAAAACUAAAAUGCAGAGUGAAUAUUGCUGAUAGUGAUACACUUCUGUGGAGGGCUUCAUUUAGAUAAUGUAAAUCUUUUACCACAGGACAUGUCUUUGAAAAGAACACUACAUAUAAAUGUUUACAACGGCGUUGUUUUAAAAAAUUAAUCAUUUAUGCAGCAUAAACACAAAAAAAAAAAAUAGAAAUAAACCUAUUAUGAAUACAUAAUAUCAAAAACUAAGUAGCUGAUCAGUACAACAAUUAUCAUCAAACAGUACCAAUAUUUAAUUUAAAACAACUUAACAAUUACUUGCAAAAUUCUACUAUUGAAUUAUAUUCAAUAAAUUUGAUAAUAAAUUAUUAUUGUCUAGUAUUGCGCAGAAAUUGUUAUCUCUACCGCAAGGAAGUCAAUUAAUUCCAAUUCAGCAACAAAGAUAAACUAGAUAGAAGCUAGUUUUAU
Teleopsis dalmanni is the source of this 1179-nucleotide long non-coding RNA. RefSeq lists it as uncharacterized. NCBI's taxonomy places the organism in Eukaryota, Metazoa, Arthropoda, Insecta, Diptera, Diopsidae. The transcript is spliced from 3 exons. The record is from RefSeq and is a predicted model, not a curated record.